UCUUUAAUAACGAAUCUGAGGUGAUCUUACAGGAUUUCCUUUCAGAAGCAAAAUAUGUUCCUUUGUUGUUUUCUUAAUAAAUGAGGUGAAAAUGAAUUAAU
Non-coding RNA from Tinamus guttatus (white-throated tinamou), 101 nucleotides. Lineage: Eukaryota; Metazoa; Chordata; Aves; Tinamiformes; Tinamidae. The record is from RefSeq and is a predicted model, not a curated record.